UACGUAGGGUGCAAGCGUUUAAUCGGAAUUACUGGGCGUAAAGCGUGCGCAGGCGGUUUUGUAAGUCUGACGUGAAAGCCCCGGGCUCAACCUGGGAAUGGCGAUGGAUACUGGCUCGCUAGAGUGCGGUAGAGGAGAGUGGAAUUCCCGGUGUAGCAGUGAAAUGCGCAGAUAUCAGGAAGAACACCCGUGGCGAAGGCGGUUCUCUGGGACGGUACUGACGCUGAGACGCGAAAGCGUGGGGAGCGAACAGG
This 254-nucleotide ribosomal RNA is filed under the name uncultured bacterium. RNAcentral describes it as "partial 16S ribosomal RNA". It matches the Rfam family "Bacterial small subunit ribosomal RNA", at positions 524 to 776 of the family's 1533-position model. The record is from RNAcentral.